Long non-coding RNA from Peromyscus californicus insignis, 11601 nucleotides. RefSeq lists it as uncharacterized. The record is from RefSeq and is a predicted model, not a curated record. The transcript has 6 exons. Lineage: Eukaryota; Metazoa; Chordata; Mammalia; Rodentia; Cricetidae.
CCCAACGUGCAACAUUGCCUUACGCAAUCUAAUAAAUUACUCCAUAGCCGGCUGCCAGCUCAGACUAAGCCCAAUAUUGCCUGCAGUAAUUAUUUGGAUCAAAUGCAGUUUAUCUGCUUCAUAUUUGUGCUUCUGUGCUCAGUGGUAACUUAUAAAUGUCAUUGUGGUGUUUAUUCGUUAUAAUGAAACUUAAUGGCAUUGGAAGCUAGGAGCAGAGCUGGUGGGGCGGCAGGUUUAAAACAGUUUCUUCAUCUCUGGAGAAGGAAUGAGCCAAGAUAACAUGACAGUGCCCUAUAGAGAAGAGAUUUGCAGAAGCAUUGUGUCCUUGUACCAUGUGGUGGACGAGAGGGAGCCAGGAGCUCUGAGCUGGCACCAAAGGUCAUUUGAUUUUGCCUCUGGGGACAUCUAUCAGGAGCGGGCUCUUUGUUCGCUGGAGUGGUGGGAAGGGCCUGACGGGAAGGGCACCCCUGUGGCCCAAUGAGGGAGCUGGAGCCAGCCUCCGGCUGAGCCCCUAGGCAGGGCUGAGUCCCAGACUGGUGGACCCGGAAGAGAUCCUGGCAAGAGGAGCAGGGGUUGCUGCAGCCUAAAACAUGGAGCUGACAGCUGGGGCUUCAGCAGUUACUUGACGCCUGCGUGGUUGUAACUAGAGAGUGGAACCUUGUGUCAAUAAUGGGUUGCCCGGGUACCCCUGGACUUCUUGUCACAUGAGAGAAAAGUUAGUCCCUCUCUUGCUUAGCGACUGCCCAUUACUUUGGAUCCCUAUUGUAAAUUCUUGAAUGUCAAACUGACACAGAUUGACUACCCACACUAUCAUUUACUCUUGAGGGACUUUGGGUAAGGCUCUUAAUGUCUUGGCGCUUCAGUUUCUUUAGUAUAGCAGGAGUAAUAUUCCUGAUUUGCCCGGCGAGCCCGCUCUUCGGCUUCCCAGAAUGUUCUCAGCCCUGUCAUGGCUUUUGUGUGUGAGAAGUGGCUGCUUCUCUCUCAUUGUCUGGCCAGACCAUUGUGCUUGAACUGAGAAUGUGCCUGCCUUCCAACUUCAAUGGCUUGCUCACGGCUGUUAUGAACUCUCCUUGUGGGCUCCCAUUUUCUAGAGACACAAUAGCUUUUCCUGGCUCGCCCAGGCCUCGCCCCUCCUCACAGGGCGCAGAGCGUCUGUGGUUUCAAGCAGCUGAAAAAGAGGCUUCAAAGAACUCCAUAUUGGCCUCUGUCAGGUUCUGCCUCACAAAGACGUUUCUGGAAUCCUCAAAAGCCUUAUUAAUCUGCUAAGAUGUCCAGGGAGCUGUGCUGGGCCCCUAUUUUCAGCGUCUUCCAUUGUCUCUGCUGCAUUGUCCCUGCUGGGUGUCUUGGCCCCUCGUGGACCAGCACAGAGGCAGGCAAGCCUUGAGCUGCUCUGGCUUUUCUGUCCCCACCUCUUUUCUGCUUCCUUUCCUUCCACACUUCCCGUGGAAAGGUCCCCGUCCUUCUUGGGCUGUUUAUUCCUCUCACUCCCUUGCAUGGCCUCUCUGCCACCUCUUUCCUCUCCUGGCAUUUGCCUGGGUUCAGGUCAUGCACACAGAGGCCUGGGGAGAGAACCAGGCUUUUCUUUUGAGUGAAAGCCUCUUCGUGCGGCUGUUGUGAGCCUCUGCAGCCACCUGCCACAGCGUCAAGUUGUCAUCUACAGAAGCUGGAUUCUCACACCCACACCCAGGGACCUCCGAGGCAGAGCCUUCUCAGGGAUUGAAGGGUCCCUGAAAGGGCCCAAAGGCCAGGACUUUUGGGCUGGUUUUUAUCUUAGUCUAAAAUCUGGAUGUGACAAGUGAACCAAGGUCCUGAGGCAAGAACUUCCCCAGAAAUCUGCCUCCUGGUUCCACACCCUGGUUCCAUGCACAAACCCCUGGGUGGGUCAGCUAUCCUUGGCCAUAAGUACACAUGAGAUUAACAGCUUUCAAAGAGAAGAGGUGACCUGGGGCCAUGGUUUUAGUGGUUUCAUUCUGUGAUCAUUUGGCUUGUAGCUUUGGACCCAGGGUAGUGCUUCAUGGCACAAGGCCCUUUUCAAGGUUGAGAAGUGAACGAGAAAGAGGAGGAGGGUCCCACAGACCCCUGUCAGGGCAUGCAUCGCCCCCUGUGACCAGAAGACUGACCACUCGGCUCCACCUCUUAAAGAUUCCAUUACUUUCUCUUGGCAGCCAAGUUAUAAGGUCUUUGGGGACAUUCAAGGUCCAACUACAUGGUUUUCCUCUAACAAGACAGAGCAAAAGUGACAGAUGUCACUUCUACCCUGUCUUGGAAUUCUCCCUCUCUGGGUCUUGCUUUGGCUGCUUGCAUUGACAAGGACAGUGAGUUAGAGACAUCUGAUAUUCAGUGAGCCACGGUGACACCCAGGCCACCAGCAUCCACGGUACCAAAUCCAGACCUUAGCUACAAGAGCAGGGGUGGAGCUCACCCUGCCCCAGGUAAACCCUGGCUAGCACCACCACUGGUGCAUGAGGAGGAAGAAGCGGGACCCCAUUAAACCACACUAGAUUCUUGGCCCACGUAAGUCUGGAGAUAUUGAAUAUGUGUUGUUAUAAGCUGAUGAUUUUAACCCAGCAAUAGGUGGGUUUGGGGACUUUAUUAGCAUAGAAGACAUGUGCUUCUGUGUUUUUUCUUCCUAUCUGGACUCAGGUUUUUCUUAUUUCUCGUGACAACAGCCAGUGGCCAGGACAACUGUCAUGGUUUGGAUCUAGGAUAUGCCACCUCCCAAACCCAGGUUCCUAUGUUGAAGGCUUGGUCCCCAGAAUAGCGCUGUUCAGAGGGGACUAGACAGUGAAGGUUCUGCCUCCGUCAGUGAACCAGUCCGUGGAUGGAUCACAGCCAGAUGGACUACUGGCUGGCAGGAGGAACAGUAGGAGGUGGGGCCUACAUGGAGGCAGUCUCCCACUAGGGGCAUCAUGCCUUUGGAAGGUGCACACUGACCAGCUGUAUCCCUCUUUCUGCUUCCUGACCCCGGCAAGGCGAACAUCUAGGCUCUGCCAAAGGCUCCCAUCAUCAUGCUCGGCUCAGCACAGGAUCCUAGAUAUGGAACCAAGUGACCACAAACCGAAACCUCCAAAACUAGGAGCCACAAACAAACAAACAGCCCAAACAACAACAACAACAACAACAACAACAACAAUAAAACCCCUUGCUCCUUUAAGCUGUUUUCCUUAGGGUUUUGUCAGAGUGUGGGGGAGCUGGCUAAGGGUAGAGAGGUGCACAUGUCUGCCCCUGCACAUGCGCACUGAUGCUUAAGCUCGAGUCCUUUCACUCCUGUAGAGGCUCACAGCCAGAGAUAAAUGUUAACGGGGCUGAAGCAAGACUCCACUGAGGCAAUCAGGUUCUGUUAGGAACCCAAAUACAAGAGGGGAUUUUGCCAGGAUCCGAGGUUCCAGAAGGGGCACGGUUGGCGAGGCCUCGCUUCUGGUAGCAGUCUCAGGCUCUCCUCUAUAGCCUGGCUCAUGAGAUCUGUUUCCAUACUGGCAUGGCAACGCUUACCCGAUCUCCCUUCUACAGAUCUCCUGCCUCACAGAGCGCAGCCUCCAGGAGGAAAUCACCCAGGAGUUCUGACCCAGCUGGAGCAAAAAUCUCCAUUCUUGAUCCUGCCUCACUUCGUCAUCCCUCCCCGGUGCCCCAGUGCUCCCGGAAGCUAAAGCAGUGAGCAAGCUCUGCAAUUGAGGAAUCAAUAAAGCGGUGCAUUUACGAACAGCCUCCAUGGAAGGGAGGGAUUUGACGUCCCUUCCUGCUCUUGUUGACAGUAAUAACUGACUGCCUCGCUGGUGUGAGGCAGUAUAAUUUUAAGACCCUCAGAACAAGGACCAGCAAAGGACUGGUAUGGAGACAGAGCAACAGCCAAAGCCCUUGCUUCCAUGUGGAGCCUGGGGCCACUGAGGUCCCAGAGGCACUGGCACAUGGCUUGGGAGCACCUGCAAUUUCAUUUUGUUUCUUUCUAAGCGCUGGGGAAGAAAAGCAAUUUGUUUGCUCUCAUACUCUGAAGAUGAACUUCCCGUGCUCAAUCAAACGUUAUUAUCCCAAUACAACCCGGUGAGGAGAAAGUCACCGUGGCACAUCAAGUUGGAAAACGAGCGCGCACACUGCAAAUCUCAAGGAAAGGAACGGAUGAAACAGAAAAGCCCUCUUUCCCUGUGCUGACACCUCUGUCAAGCACAGCGUGCCUGUCCUGCCCAGCCCCGCAGGUGCUGCUGGCAGAUGCCUUCGCACACUGAGGACGUCCUGGUGAGUGGCUCUCUGGAUUCAAUUAAUGCACAGGCUGGCCAGAGUGGAAGACAGACAGGAGACAGAGGGUCUGAGGAGAGCACCUUCUCCCCGCCAUGCUGCUUCCCACCUGGUGACGGACGAUGUGGACUUAGCGCUGUGAGAUCCCUGCUGACCUGAGAGGCAGAUGCUGUUACAGUGUGUGACAAGGUCCAUACAUUCUGAUGAAGCUCUUCAGAAACUGCACUCCAUAGGAUCAGAACUGCUCUCUGGGGGAAUUUCCCCAUCCUGUUCUGAGCUCUGGUUUGGUGACCUGGUUUAAUUCCCUUCCAAGCUCCAGUGGGAAGUGAAAAUGAUGACUUCUCUCCAGGUAUAGCACUGCAGGCAGACUGAGGGUAUGUCUUCUCUACUGCUCUGUCCACACACACUAGAAGCUGUGGAAGAGUAGACCGAGAUCCCACUUUAGAGGUAAGGGUACCAAGAGCUGCCAGUUGAAUACCUUGUGAUGGGCACUUCAUGAAGAAUAUCCCAUGCAUCCUCCAUAACAAUCAAAUGCAAAAUAUAGCAUUGUCCUCCAUCUUAUAUAGCUGACCAGUGUCAGAGCCAGACACUGUGACUUCCUAACCUGCACUGUUACCAUAGCACAGAUGACCAUUCCCCGGGGACAUGUCUACCCUCCCUGCUGAUGCCUGGGAAACCUCUAGACACAAUUAAGUUGAAGCAGCUGAUGGGCUUGGGAGGUGGAGCCAACUUGGGGAGGGGCAGGACCAAUCUCCUUGGUUAUUCAGGGGAAAGACCACUCCAAUUGGAGAGACUGGGAAGGAUUGCAAAAGGAAGGAGACUUGACUUUAGUCCCCAGGGUUUAAGGUUUGCUUUUUCCUCAGGGAAAGGAUAAACGGAAUCUAGCUUCUCUGGCUAGCAGUUCAUAGGGUAUACCUGGCAAGCAGUGUACUCGGGUGGAACACUGUUCUCACUCUACAAACCCUUUUUACACUUGUCUUCCACCAGCCUGGACCAUCUGCUCUAUGUUUAUAAAUAACUGUCUCCUACUACCCAAAAUCGCAUCCUUGGCUCUAGGCUCUGGGUCUGGGCCUUCUUGGUGGCCUUGCUGGAAUUCUUUCCACUCCACUAUGCCUCACUGUGUCUCUGGUCUCCUAGAGUGAGAGCUCAACAGAGAGAGCAAGGGGAAAGGUUACCCCUAAAGGAGCACUUCAUGGAACUGGGAGUCAGAGUCACUCUGCUCAGUGAGGGAAGCAUUCAGAUUAUGGCUCUUUUCACCCUUAAACUUCCAAACCAGGACUCAUUCUGAUCUGAGCAUGAGAGCAAAGAACACCUUUUGAAGAUGAACCUUUGUUUCUCUGCCCAGUAGGUAGGACUUAACCUUGAACUUGUGCCCCAACAAGAAGCCUGCAGUGAGGCUGGGCUUGAUAACUCACCUCUAGGCAAGCACAGAAAGGCAUGUGCUGCCUUCUGCAGUGGAGGGCCUGUUCUAGAGACACUCACGGGGGAUUCUGGUGCUUUUGUCAAAGGAAGGCUCACAGAGAAAAUUGCUGCCACAAAUAUAAGUGAGUGAUAUACAGGGGGCUUAGACUUGGGGGUUAUACUGUGGCUUUAGGGGAGCCGAGGAGAGUCAUUGUUUAGAGGACUGAGCGGUUUGGGCACCUCCAGGCUCCCAGCAAAGAAGAAUGGGACUAUAAAGCUGAAUCAUUAAGAGUCAGUGGACUAGAGGAAGGGAUUGGUUGCAUAGGUAAGGCUGGAGAAAAUGAUUCCUCUAAGACACAAAUGUCUUCAAUUUAAAGUCUGUUCCCCAAAUCCACUCCCCACCCCAGAGUGACAGAUGUAGGGAUACAACCCAACUCUGUCAUUUGCUAUUUUUAGGACUUUGGGGGAAAUCACAUAAAGCUGCAUUUCUGCCUCCUUGUUUGUGAAAUGGGAGUGGUACACAUUCUUCUUAGAAGUGUGAGAUAAUGGACACUCAGGGUAGACCCAAGGCAUGACAUGCAUCAGGCACACAGUGAGCGUGGACUAUUAUUACUGCCAUUUUUAUUUUUUAGCCAAUUAUCUUUCUUUGCUAUGGAGGAAAUAUCCCUUUCAAAGAUUUUGAAGGAUGAAAUGAGGAGACAGGCUGGUAGCACCCACUGUAUAACAGAUGCCCGGGGACUGAGUCUGUCUUUUACUCCCUUCUGAGGUGUAUUCUCUCGAGGGCUCUUGAUGUUAACUCUGGUGGGAAAUGGAUAGGAUGCCGUCAGCUGUAUGAGAGCGUUGUCUUCAAGUGAGGCUGACAUUAUAGAACUCGUGUUGCCUCCUGAAUCUGGCAGCUUUCUGACUCAUGCUUUCUUCCUGUCUUACUGCCUUCCUAUACUACCACUCACUCUGCUUUCUGUACCCACUACCAGGCUAGACUCUUUCAUUAUCCACUGAGCCCUUGUUUUUCUGCUGCUCUGGUCUGCUCAUGGUCUGAGGGGCUGCAAUGAGUCCUUUGUACCUCCUCAGAGCAGUAGGAGGUACUGGAUUCGAGACUGGGUGCUCUGGCGUUGAAUUUGAACCCUGGAUCAACUGCUUAAUGUGUACUCUUAAGAGAGCUACUUAAGGGACAUUUGGCACAUCAGUCUAAUGAGGGCAACUGUCACAACAGGGCGUUACUGGGAGGUAAAAGCAGGUAGCACACACAAGUACCUAGGAAGAUAGAUGCAUGCUAAGUCCGAGGUUCCUAAUGCCCUCCUCCCUCUCUGGUCUUGAAGCCUGCAGAGAGAAGUGGCAGAGGCAGGGUAGAUCGUUGCCUCACCUCUUUUAUCAUCCUCACUCUGCGACCUCGAUCCCCUCAUUAUGCUCUGGAAAACCCAUGCUGAAGGAGGUGUCUAGCCAGGAAUAUCUUUGAAGGUGAAGAACAGACAGAGCUUCCUAUUACUGGCAUGUUAAGAUCUGCUUUCCGUGUGGCCUGAAGUCAGAGUGAGUGGGGGAAAUUCAGAAAUCAGCAGCACCAGCAUUGGUGUACCAUGCCAGAGUCUUCUCUUGUCUUCCUGCUCUAAAGGCCAUUGUCAGCAGUGUCUGGCCAUCCUCUGGCUCCUGGCUUCUUGUUCACCUAGCAUGUAUCAUACUUCUUCCUCUGCACCAGUUCCCAAUCUCUGUGCACCCUUCCUUUUCCCAGCUUUCUUCCUGUACAAGCUUCUACCCUUUGUUUGUCCAGAACUCCAACAGGAACACUUAGCUAGCUCAUCCCCUUGCAAAUUCCACCCAUGGGAAUUUCCAUUCAAAGGAAAAACAAUCAUAUCUAAAUCCUGAUAAAAAUAUAAUUAGUGUUGUCUAGGCUGAUGGAAUCAUACUUGGAGAGUAAGGGACCUAUUUCUCUCUCUUGGGCUGGAUGCCUCUGCAGAUGGGUCACUUAAAAAAUAAAGUGCAUGCCUUUAAUCUCAGCACUGGAGAGGCAGAAGCAGGCAGAUCUCUGAGUUUCAAGACAGACUGGUCUAUAUAGCAAGUUUAAGGUGAGCCAGGAAUACAUAAUUACACAAUGAGACUCUGUCUCAAACUAUAUAAAAGGGUUAAAAUGCAGAAGAGGAUUGUCUGUAGCAAAAAUUUAUUAAUACAUGACUCCAUCUAUUUAUCCAACCAUCUGUUCAUCUGUCUAUCAAUUCAUCCAAUUACAAAUCCAUCCAUCUUUCCAUCUAGUACACACUUAUGUAAUACCUGCAGUGUGCCAAACCUAGGGAUGGCCGUGGGAAGACAGACGAGUAAACAGACAGUCACUGUGCAGUGUGGGCUAUGCUAGGAGCACAGGUGCAGCACGAAGAAUGGAGUCUGCAUCAGUGGGAAGGAAAGGAUGGCUUCUUAGAGGAGAGACCCUUGAAUUAAAGACCGAGGAACGGAGCAAAUUCAACCUUGUUGUUUUCUUUCAUUGUUCCAUGGAUGGGACCAGGGCCAACAAAAUAGAGAAUCUUAAAAAAAAUUAUGUGUACAUAGUUGUGGGUAUGUGCAUGUGAGUCAGGUGCCAUGGAAGCCAGAAGAAGGCUGUGGGUCCCCUGAAGCUAUGGGUGGUUGUGAGCUACCUGACAUGGGGGUUGGGACCUGAACUUGGAUGCCCUGCAAGAGCAGUGCCCGCUCCUCACUGCCAAGCUGUUUCUCCAGCACAAACUCGGUCACCUUACAUCACCUUUGCCUUCUCAGGUUGUCAUGGAGUUGGAAUGUUUUGGGAGUGAAUAGCUCAGAAUAAGAAGACAACUUGCUUUUGUUUUGGGGUAGUUUAGUUUUGAUUUCUCAGGAUCUAAGAACACAGAACGUAAGUUCCUCUUUUUCUAGUUACCUUUCUUUUAAAAAAUUGGCACAUAUUUAAUUAUACACAGCAAUGAGUGCUGUGGGGUGUCUUUCUGUAUGCUGUGAAUAUGUGUUGCUCUGAUUGGUUGAUAAAUAAAGCUGCAUUGACCUAUGGCAGGGCAGGAUAGGGUUAGGCGGUACAUUCAAACUGAAGACGAGACUAAGAAGGGUGGAGUUGGGAGAGAUGCCAGCCUGCUGCCCAAGGAUCAACAAGAUGCCAGCAGACCAGUAACGCCAUGGCCACAUGGCAACAUAUAGAUGAAUAGAAAUGGUUUGAGUUAAGUUAUAAGAGCUAUCUAGCAAGAAACCUGACCCAUAGGCCAUACAGUUUAUAAAUAAUAUAAACUGUGUGUUUACCUGGGACCAAGUGGCUGUGGGACAGGGGUGGGAGAGAUUUCGUCUGGAUCGCAGGGCCGGGCAGGACCAGAGAAACUUCUAGCUACAAAUGGGUUUCACUAUGGCAUGUCUGUAUGCGUAUAUAAUGUAUUUUAAAUCGUAUUUCCACCCAUUACUUCUGUUCUUUCCCUCCCUCUCCAAAUGACCCCCUUCCUUCUCCCAGCCAUUCUCUUUCUUGUUUUCAUUCUUUUCUUUGCCUUCUUUUUAAAAGUUUAGUGACCCUGGCUGGAGAGAUGGCUCAGAGGUUAAGAGGACUCACUGCUCUUCCAGAGGACCCGGUUCAAUUCCCAGCAUCCACAUGGCAGCUCACACCUGUCUGUAAUUCCAAGAUCUGACACCCUCACACAGACAUACACGUAGGCAAAACACCAAUGCACAUAAAAUAAAAAUAAAUUAUCCAAAAAAUUUGGUGACCUAUUAUAUUCUACUAGUAUUUCUUAUAAAAAUGUAUUUAUUUUUAUGGUGUGUGUAUGUGUGUAUGUGUGUGUGUGUGUAUUUGUGCACAUGCCAUGGUGUGUAUGUGGAGGUUGGAGGAUGGGUUUCUGGAGUCAGUUCCCUCUUUAAUCUUUACAUGGGUUCUGUGGAUUGAACUCAGCUCUUCAGGCCUGUAGAGCUAUCUUGUCAGCCCUUAUUAGUAUUUCUUAAAGGAUUCUGGGUAAGGGACUAUUUAAAUGAGCAUGGUUUCCUUACCACCCACUUCCUCUUGACAAGAGUUUCCUGAAACACACCAGAGACUGGACUAGAAGGAUCUUGUUCAUUUCUAAAGAGCAGAAAGCUUCCAGGGUGCUCUCUUUCAUCCCCUCUUGUGUUUGGGGAAGCUCUUGUCUGCCCUCUGGCUACAGUUAGUCAUCUUCCUCCUUAGGCCACCCAGAACUCUUGCUGGCUCAUUUUCUCUCUUGUUCAUGGUGACUAGAUUAUUUAGAGUCUACACUGGGUCAGCCUGGUCUCACAGAAGCUGCAUAGGACACGGCAACUCCAUGAAUAUGAAGUCACAUCAACAAAAAAGCUGGGAUACUCAGAUGCUAGGGCUGCCAUUUUGCCUUAGAUGGACUGAGGGGAUUGCUACAUCAGUAUAUUGUUUCAAGGGCAAGUCUCCCUUCCUUAACAUUUACCUGACACAUUCUGUUCAUAUGAUGAACAGUGGUCAUUAUGGAUCAGCUUUGGUGAGAAGGACCCCAGUUUGAAGGCAUGAAAUUAAUUUAGUCUAGGAACCUGAGUGAAAAGGUUUCUGCUGUAGGUAGGACCAUUAUGUGCAGGAAUUUUAAGAGCCAAGUGGUGACUGUAGCAUCAUCCAGUAUCCUCACAUCCCCGGGGCAGAAGGCCACAGUGUUUGGAUAGUGAAUAAUUCUCAUCUCCUUUUCUAGACGAUGUAAGUUCUGUUUUAUUUGCCAGUGUAUCCCCAGGACUUGAGACUAAGCCAUUUAAUGACUUUUUGCUGCAUGAAUUAAGAUCUACAAGUAAUGUGAGAAGAAUCACCAUUUGUCUUACUGGAAUCUCAGCCCUGGGCUGUGUUGACAGAGCUGGUCUCCCCCCCCCCUUUUUUGUGGUAGCUAGCCCCAAAUAAUCUCAAAGACCAGGCAUGUGAAACACAUGAGUGCUAAUGGAUCUGGAGACUUAAGCUCUGGAGGGCCACCUGUCACAUAAGAUUUGCCUUCAAAGGCCACUUGCUCUGACCUUUCCAUAACAUUUAAAAAAAAGAAACCUCGGUAUUGACCAAAUCAGCCCUAUCUUCAGUGGAGGUCUAGACAGCUAUUUGUACUUCUAUUUGAAUUUCUUGGUUCUUUUCUUUUUGUACUUCUGGGUAAGCACAGAGGAAAGAAAGUUCUUUUGCUUGACCAAAUCUCAUUUAAAAAUUGUUUGUAUUUUUUUAAAUGGAACCCAAUCCCUUAAGCCUUUAAAAGUAACCUCUGCUGAGCUCAAUAAACCAUUUCCAAUGUGGCAGCUUCUAAUCCAGGAGAGCUCAGAAGACAGAUGCUAAAGAACCACCAAUUGCAUCCCAGGACAGUUGCCAAAGUCUCAGGGCUCCACAAGCUGGAGAUGCGAUCGCUAAUCCCGACUCCAUUUCUCUGCUAGCUGGCCCAACCGUGCAAUUAGCAUUCUCCCUGGUGUUGAUUUUCUUCAAAUAUAUUGGGCCCAUCAAUCACCCACUUUCCAACUCGUCUGUCUGGAUCAGUCAAUUACAAAGUUAUUUUUGAGCCACUAGGAUUCUUGUGAAAUAGACACAAGAAGGAGCUAAACUCAUUUCAGGUUUGACCUCUGCGGCUGGGAUCUGAGGAGCUUGGUUUGCUUACACUUCAUGGCCAUCCAAUCCGAUCUGGCCUGGAGAAUAGAAAGGCCACUUGCUUAAUUGGGAACACUUUAAUACAGAUAUCCAUUAACUUAUGCUAAAUUACAGUAAAACAUCUAUGGAGGAACUUGAUGUGACAUCUGCAUGAAUACUAAAUAACUUCAUUACGAUCAGCGCUGUGACAAUGAAUAGGAAAUGAACGUGCCCAGGGAAGGCAAUUCAUCUCCCACCUUCUCAAGUUAUUACUGUUUUUUUUUUGUUUUUUUGAGACAGGGUUUCUCUGUGUAGCUUUGCGCCUUUCCUGGAACUCACUUGGUAGCCCAGGCUGGCCUUGAACUCACAGAGAUCUGCCUGGCUCUGCCUCCCGAGUGCUGGGAUUAAAGGCGUGCGCCACCACCGCC